UGGGGAAUUUUGGACAAUGGGGGAAACCCUGAUCCAGCCAUCCCGCGUGUGCGAUGAAGGCCUUCGGGUUGUAAAGCACUUUUGGCAGGAAAGAAACGUCGCGGGUUAAUACCCCGCGAAACUGACGGUACCUGCAGAAUAAGCACCGGCUAACUACGUGCCAGCAGCCGCGGUAAUACGUAGGGUGCAAGCGUUAAUCGGAAUUACUGGGCGUAAAGCGUGCGCAGGCGGUUCGGAAAGAAAGAUGUGAAAUCCCAGAGCUUAACUUUGGAACUGCAUUUUUAACUACCGGGCUAGAGUGUGUCAGAGGGAGGUGGAAUUCCGCGUGUAGCAGUGAAAUGCGUAGAUAUGCGGAGGAACACCGAUGGCGAAGGCAGCCUCCUGGGAUAACACUGACGCUCGUGCACGAAAGCGUGGGGAGCAAACAGGAUUAGAUACCCUGGUAGUCCACGCCCUAAACGAUGUCAACUAGCUGUUGGGGGCCUUCGGGCCUUGGUAGCGCAGCUAACGCGUGAAGUUGACCGCCUGGGGAGUACGGUCGCAAGAUUAAAACUCAAAUGAAUUGACGGGGGUCG
Molecule: ribosomal RNA, 575 nt
Filed under: uncultured bacterium
Lineage: Bacteria
Description: partial 16S ribosomal RNA
Rfam family: Bacterial small subunit ribosomal RNA
Source: RNAcentral